This is a long non-coding RNA of Cydia splendana, 860 nucleotides long. RefSeq lists it as uncharacterized. The transcript is spliced from 3 exons. The record is from RefSeq and is a predicted model, not a curated record. NCBI's taxonomy places the organism in Eukaryota, Metazoa, Arthropoda, Insecta, Lepidoptera, Tortricidae.
UACGUUAUAGGUUCUCGCGGGCUUGGUUUCCGCAACUCGACGUCAUAUUAUUGCGCCUAUUUUGCGUGGUGGGUUGGCGGCACUAUUCUUGCCAACCCAACUCUACCAAGAAGCCUAGCAGACCCUUGACGUUGCCGACGACUUCUGGGAGAGACCCCGGUGAGCCGAGGUGUUGUGCCCGGUAUUCUGCCACUCCUGGGCAUUCGAGAAUGACGUGGGUGGCUGUCUCCUCUGCCUCCAUGCAUGCUCUGCAGAGGGGGCUAUCUGUAACACGUAGGGUUAAUAGGUGCUUGUUAAAUGAGGCGUGGCCAGUCAUGGCCCCAGCUAUAAGCCGAAGCUUUGGUUUCUUCAGCUGUCGCAGUCUCCGCGACAGAUUGGGGUUGAGUGUCGGGAGGGCUUCCUUCGCCUGCCUGCAAGUGCCUAGGUUAGACCAGUAUUGUUGGUGUUUUACCUUGGUGUUGUGUCGCAGCAUGUUCCGGAGCCAGGCAUAUGGCAGAGGUACGAUUGGCUCAGGUCCUGCCACCUCCAGUUCCGAGCCUCCUCUCGCCAAGAUGUCGGCUGCAUCGUUACCUCAAAAGAAAAUCGAAUAGUAUAUCCACCCCAGAUGAAUGUCCCAUGAAGAAGAGAAAAUACGAAGACAGACCGACCUUAUCUAUACAUCAAGGCUGGUUCUUAGAAAAUACGUAUCCUCAGUGUCUAUCCACCGGGUAGGCGCUCUUCCUCUACUUCUCUUCCCUAUCACGUGACCGACCAUCAUCAAUACCUCUAGACUAUCUUCGGGUCUAGCCACGUGUCCGAAGAAUCGAAGUAUGCGCUGUGUGCAAAUAGUGAAGAGACGUGUUCGAAUUUUCAGCUGGCUA